UACGUAGGUGACCAGCGUUGUCCGGAUUUACUGGGCGUAAAGAGCGCGCAGGCGGUCGUUCAAGUCGAGUGUGAAAGCCCCCGGCUCAACUGGGGAGGGUCACUCGAUACUGAUCGACUUGAAGGCAGGAGAGGGAAGCGGAAUUCCCGGUGUAGUGGUGAAAUGCGUAGAUAUCGAGAGGAACACCUGCGGCGAAGGCGGGUAGCUGGGCCGACACUGACGCUGAGGCGCGAAAGCUAGGGGAGCGAACGGG
RNAcentral lists this ribosomal RNA (253 nucleotides) under uncultured bacterium. RNAcentral's name for it is "partial 16S ribosomal RNA". It matches the Rfam family "Bacterial small subunit ribosomal RNA", at positions 524 to 776 of the family's 1533-position model. The record is from RNAcentral.